This 497-nucleotide ribosomal RNA is filed under the name uncultured bacterium. RNAcentral's name for it is "partial 16S ribosomal RNA". It matches the Rfam family "Bacterial small subunit ribosomal RNA", at positions 28 to 507 of the family's 1533-position model. The record is from RNAcentral.
GAUGAACGCUGGCGGCGUGCCUAAUACAUGCAAGUCGAGCGAACAGACGAGGAGCUUGCUCCUCUGACGUUAGCGGCGGACGGGUGAGUAACACGUGGAUAACCUACCUAUAAGACUGGGAUAACUUCGGGAAACCGGAGCUAAUACCGGAUAAUAUAUUGAACCGCAUGGUUCAAUAGUGAAAGACGGUUUUGCUGUCACUUAUAGAUGGAUCCGCGCCGCAUUAGCUAGUUGGUAAGGUAACGGCUUACCAAGGCAACGAUGCGUAGCCGACCUGAGAGGGUGAUCGGCCACACUGGAACUGAGACACGGUCCAGACUCCUACGGGAGGCAGCAGUAGGGAAUCUUCCGCAAUGGGCGAAAGCUUGACGGAGCAACGCCGCGUGAGUGAUGAAGGUCUUCGGAUCGUAAAACUCUUUUAUUAGGGAAGAACAAAUGUGUAAGUAACUAUGCACGUCUUGACGGUACCUAAUCAGAAAGCCACGGCUAACUACGUG